AGGUCUGUGGCAGGCCGUGAGACGGUGACCAGAGAAGCAGUCAGCACUCACGGCCCCUGCCCUUUCAGAGUUUACGCUUGCUUGGAAGCCUCCAGAAUGGGGAUAAGCACAAGACAUUUAUGCUGGGCUUCAUCCAGGAAGCUCUGGUGGAAGGAAGAGAAAGCAGCCCACACAGCAAGGUUCAGGAGAAGAUUCCCAUGAAGGACAACUGGGGUUCAGCCCCAUCCAGCAGAUGACACGGAGCCGGCCUCGGAGGUGUCCUCACCGUGGGACACUGGCAUCUGAGCUACCUCAGGGCGUAGCCGGCCGAUGUUCCCAGCCUCCCCCUGGGCACAGCCAGCCCAGGCCAAGUGGUCUAGCGAACACUCUGUGUGGCUUCCCUCAUAAAUGCCCCCCAGGACUCAGAAUUCUCACCCCAAAGGAUUUGAGACCGAGUCUGCAAGACACGGAUCGUCCAGAUGAGUG
This 465-nucleotide long non-coding RNA is filed under the name Homo sapiens (human). RNAcentral's name for it is "non-protein coding LINC01644:7". Lineage: Eukaryota; Metazoa; Chordata; Mammalia; Primates; Hominidae. The record is from RNAcentral.